CCUACGGGGGGCAGCAGUGAGGAAUAUUGGUCAAUGGACGAGAGUCUGAACCAGCCAAGUAGCGUGAAGGAUGACUGCCCUAUGGGUUGUAAACUUCUUUUAUAUGGGAAUAAAAUGUUCCACGUGUGGGAUUUUGUAUGUACCAUAUGAAUAAGGAUCGGCUAACUCCGUGCCAGCAGCCGCGGUAAUACGGAGGGUCCGAGCGUUAUCCGGAUUUAUUGGGUUUAAAGGGAGCGUAGGUGGAUUGUUAAGUCAGUUGUGAAAGUUUGCGGCUCAACCGUAAAAUUGCAGUUGAAACUGGCAGUCUUGAGUACAGUAGAGGUGGGCGGAAUUCGUGGUGUAGCGGUGAAAUGCUUAGAUAUCACGAAGAACUCCGAUUGCGAAGGCAGUUCACUGGACUGCAACUGACACUGAGGCUCGAAAGUGUGGGUAUCAAACAGGAUUAGAUACCCUUGUAGUC
Molecule: ribosomal RNA, 460 nt
Filed under: uncultured bacterium
Lineage: Bacteria
Description: partial 16S ribosomal RNA
Rfam family: Bacterial small subunit ribosomal RNA
Source: RNAcentral